Long non-coding RNA from Puntigrus tetrazona (Sumatra barb), 3083 nucleotides. RefSeq lists it as uncharacterized. Lineage: Eukaryota; Metazoa; Chordata; Actinopteri; Cypriniformes; Cyprinidae. The record is from RefSeq and is a predicted model, not a curated record. The transcript has 3 exons.
GCAAAAAUUCUUCUAAUUUAUUUUCACUUGAUAUACUUGAUUAUAAAAGUACAAAUAAAAAUAAACUAAUAUUCUAAUUCUAAAAAGACAUAAAGACAAAAUUCUAAAUUACCUACCAAGAAAAUAUAAAAAUUAAAUCUAUUUCAAAAGUACAUCAAUGAUACUAAAACCUGGCGUGAACGUGUGCUGAUAGAGUAUUAAAAUAUUAACCUGAAUUUGUGACUUGAACUGAAUCCAUGAAGUGUUAUUUAAUAGUACAGUAUCUAAGGCUGCUGUGACACACACACACACACACACACACACACACACACACACACACACACUUUCACCGUUUACAGUUACUGGACAAACGGCUUCAAUAACAGACACAAACACUGAAACACAGACACACAGAUAAAGACCAACUGAGAUAAAGACACGACAGAGCUGCUGUGAGAAAACGACAUAAACAGAGAGAGAGAGAGAGAGAGAGAGCUACGACAGGAAAUGAGAUCGCAGGAAAGGAAUUCCGACUGCAUCCAAGAUGUAGUUUAACGUCUCUAAACACGAGGGCCUGAAACACAACGGCCACAUGCUCCACAGACGCAACCAGCUCACAGAAACAGACCAAAAAUAAACGCAAGAGGAGUUCGUUUCUUAGUCAGAUCUGGAGAAGUGCGUCUCUGCCUCAGCAAUGGAAGCCAAUGGGUGCCGUCGCAACGAGAGUCUGAUAGAAACGUCACGAUAAUCCGCGGCACUCCGGUCCGUCAGUGAACACCUGGAGAAGAUCUGAGGCACAUUUCUCCCGGUCUGAAGGAGAAACAAACUCAUCGUAGUCUCGGAUGAGCCCAGGGGUAACUUAUGACUUGCUGAAAGCAGACAAAAACUGAGCGACAGCCGUUCGGAGACGAUGGAGUCAGACGGCCUCCCAGAACCGAUGCGAUUCUCCAUGCAACACAACUACAACCGAGCUGAAGGAAAUCUCAGCAUUCAUCAGACGAGGACAACUUGAUCACGAGAGAGACGUCUCCUAAUCCCGGGAUUCCUCUGCAAGCGAGGCAGGACUAGAGCUGCUUCUCCAAAACAGGCCCAAUUCUGUCAAACGCCGGUGAAGCAAUGGGGUUAAAAAUCCCUAACCGCCGCACGGUGGACGAGAACAACACUCUCCAUCACAGAUCAAACACUGAUGAUUAGUUCCCAUGCAUCCAUCGAUCUAGUGUUGAUGAAUGUCUAACAACAGAAGCCUGGAAGAAGAGACUAUCCUGCUAAAACAAGGGACAGCUGAAAACACCGUUUAUUCACAGAAAGUGGAGAAUUAUUUUAAUUGCACAUUGGUUACUGACUUAAAAUCAUAAAUGCGUCACGGUAUCCUGAUUUCCUUCCAAAACACCACUGGGUUCACGUUUAUUAAAGUAUUAGAUCUUCUUCAUGCCAUUCCUUGAUGAUAUUACCAGUUUGUCUGUUCAUAAUCAUAGCAGCAUGCUUAAGCGUUUAUAAUAAUAACAAACUACAGUAUUAACACAGUAUUAAUUAGUUGCUUUGUUUGGCCUUAACUACUAUGUACUUACAUAAAAACAAUAAGUGCAGUGUGGUUAUUGUGUCCAUACUGUACUUUUAUACCAACACUUUUUCUGUUAUUGAGGAGGUUAGGGCCAACGGUGUAAUUACAAAUUAAUUACCUGAUGUAAUUACAAUUUUAAAAAAUACGUACAAUGUAAUCAUGCAUGUAUGCAAUAAAUAAUUCAAUAAAUAAAUAGUAUUUGUUUUUUUUUAUUAAUCAAUAACUUUCCUAAAUGUGUUGAUCAGUUGCAGUUUUAGUUCACAAAUCUAAAUGAAAGGUUGAAUUUUAAAGGAAAAAGGUUUUUUAAAUGAUUUAUUACAUUCCUGAUAGGAGUUAUUGUUGCCUUGCGAUACUCUAAAAGAACAUAUUUCAGUUUUCUGCUUCAUUAUUUCACAUUAAGUUCAGUGUGUUACUAAGACAUACAAUAUCUUAAUCAAAACUUGGUACCGUGUUAUUCGCAAUUUCAUGAUGCAUAAUAAAGUUAUAAUCCUUUUAUAAACAAUUUUUGCACGUUCCUGUCACGUCUGGAGUUGGCUGUAUUUCCUGUCGAUGCAAUACAUUUCUAAAGGUGCGUUCGAUGCUUAUCUACUGAUAUCUGUGUUUUAUGACCGCGGUUGCAUAAUGAGGCGCAUCGCUAAUGAAGAUUACUGAUUACUGAUGCAGAUGUGUGACUGGAAAUUGUUCCCACACCAUUUCAAACCAAACUGAGUGACAUUUAAACGCAAAGCAGUCAUAAGACGUGUUCAGCUGCACUGUGGUUCAUAGGGAAACAUGGAAGGGACUGACGCUCAGAGCCAAACAUGUUGUAGGGAGCGUUUACUGUGCUGUGCAGAGAUUAGAUUAGACAUGCAGGACUGUGUGUGUGUGUGUGUGUGUGUGUGUGCUCUGCUUUAAUCUGAGUCAAAUAACAGCAGCAAACACACACUGGCCUCAUGCAUGAGAGCUGUGUGCACCUGAGGAACAGAAGAACAUCACACACACACACACACACACACACACAAUUUCAAAUGUCACCCUCAAACAGAAAUUGAAGCACUGAGCAUCUCCCCGGUGUUUAUCACGUCCACACCCGCCUGUCAGUCCGUCCGGGGAGACGAUCACACGCGUUUCGGCUCGAGACGGAAAGAAUGAUUUCAUCGGCGCGCCGUACUUGUUGCGAUUCCCGUCUAAACGCUUUCAGACGCGGAACACCGCCAGCGUCGUUUACGAGUCCGGGACCCGACGCCCUGCGGCUUCUAAACAUCCACAGCUGGAGAGAAACACUGAUCCGUGUCCGCGCGACGAAAAAACCCUUCGGACGGGGAUAUAACGAUCUGAAGACGCGGCGUUUAUUUCAUCGCGCAUCUGGAUGUGAAGCUAUUUGAGGCUCGCUGUUCAUUCAGACACAGAAUAGGAGGUCAUUUACCAUCUAAUCGCCUCAUAUAUGUCCGAGUUAACGGCUAAGCGAGAAGAAUAGGUAUUUGUUUGUAUACAUUUGCUCGAAUAUCUACAAAAUAUCACAAUAGACCGCGCGAUUUCAGUCAGAAUGUGGAAGGCGCGAUAA